Molecule: long non-coding RNA, 240 nt
Filed under: Elaeis guineensis (African oil palm)
Lineage: Eukaryota; Viridiplantae; Streptophyta; Magnoliopsida; Arecales; Arecaceae
Description: long non-coding RNA (EGUI_LNC029812)
Source: RNAcentral
GGGUUCGCCUUGAUGUCUUGCUUCAUCACCAUGAACUAAGAAACUUUUUCAACGGACAUCGAAGGCACACUUAAUUGGGUUCAGUUUCAUUCGAUAUCUCCUCAGGAUGUCGAAAGCUUCUGUCAGGUCAUCGAUAUGAAGAGUAGCUUCCUUACUUUUUACGAGCAUAUCGUCGAUGUAGACCUUCAUGUUACAAUCGAUCUGAUUCUUGAAGACUUUGUUGACCACCCUUUGAUAUGU